CCCCGUGGAGCUGGGAGCCCGAUGCGGGACUCGAUCCCGGGACUCCAGGAUCAUGACCUGAGCCGAAGGUAGUCGUCCAACCAACUGAGCCACCCAGGUGUCCCAACCUUAGUUUUCAUAUAUGUAAAAUGGAGUCAAUCAGAAUAAAGAUAUUACAACCGUGCCCAACGCAUCAGAAGCAGGAGACAAAUAAUUUCAAUAAAACGUGCUCUAGUGGAAACUCCGCCUGGAGGCCCAGAGAAGGAGAUGACGGGUGAGCCGGGUGUUGAAGGAUGAUGGAGGAGACGGGGCGGCGUUCCCAGCGGCCUGGAGGAGUCUGGCUCGCCCAGUGCCUGUCAUAUGCCCAGAGUACGAAAAAAGGUUAGCAGAACAGACACUCUGCUUUACAACAAGGCUUGCCUUUGAAGCUGAAGGACGAAGAAAAGUAUUUUCUACUAGGAAAAGCUCUUGCUCCAGCUCCAGGCUCAGAAAAAUGGAGGGCUCGGGAGGCUGCCUCAUGGUCUGUAUCUGCUGGAUAAGGAGCUUCUUCCUCCAGUCCAUGCCUACAGCAGCCUCGCCAACAUUUCCAAACACCUACUACAUGCAAGGAUCUAGGGCCACACGACCAGUAAGAGAUGCUGACUUGGAACCUCCAUCUAACCGUGGGAAGAGAAAUCUAACAAUUCAUAAGCGAGUAUCUUGGGGGGUCUAGGAUUGCCCCCUUAAUGACAUGCAGAGAGCAGCGAGGAACCUGGAGGGUGGCUAUCCUUCUUGUCCUUUUGUCAGUCUGGACUCUGCGACACCAUCAAUCCAAAUCAGCAUUUGUCCUCUGAGUUAGGAUGGAUGGAGCCUGGAGGAAAUUUUAAGUAGGGCGAGGAUGGACAGACACAUUUGCAAUGGAUGCUGGGUCUUGUCUUUUUUUUUUUCCCCCAGAGAAUGGCCAUCUAAAUGCUCACAAGGUAUGUUUCUCCUCCUUUGUAUUAAGGUCUCAGCUAUCGAGGGCUGCACCAGAGCUGUUUGUAAUUGCAUUCCAUCUCUGGGCUGCAAAUUACUCUGACAAUUUUCCUUGGGACUCUGUUUUACGUGCGCCCUGGUGGGUGUGAUUGUAUCUGAGCUAACUUUUCCAGUCAUUCACCUACUCACCUACCCAAGCACCUCUCCUUUAAAAAAUAAUACGCAAUAAAAUCUGAAGAACUCUUUUCACUCGGCACAAACGGCUCACACACAGAAAUCGAGACUUAAGCAAAAUCUUUGAACUGUCAGAUGUAAGUCUGUAAUGGACAGGAAACGUAUUAUAUGUAAUUUAAUCGCCAAUCUCUGUUCUCAACCCUCACAUUUCUCUUCUCAGAGAAAGGGCCUCUUUUCACACUCCCUUAUCUUUGCCUAAAGCCUCACCUCUGGAAGAAGCCGUAAGGAACCACCAAGAGACUUAAUUUGUUUGCAACAAGCUGGGAAGAUAAAAGUAAAAGAGUGUAAAUGAGGUUGACGCACUGAGGUUUUCUGUUCAGACUCUGAGUUGACACUCUGAGUUGACACUACGGUUUUAGUGCUUCCAAAUGUCACUUGCCAGGACCAUGGGAGGGGCCGCGUCUUGGUUCAAAGAUGCAGUUCAAGAAGGGGCUUCUCCACCCCAGUCCACAAGGAGAGUGUGGGAUUCCACUAAGCCAGGAGGAGAACCCUGUGCCUGACAAAUCCCUUCAAAUUAAUCCCCAACAUGAAAGGGCUUAGGGUCUCCUCGUCUGAUCAUUUUUUGAGCAUUAUCUCUAGCACCUGCCUGGUCUCAGGUGUACAGAGAGCUUAGGAGCUGGGAGGGAGAGGGAGCACGGGGUUUCAAUGCAGAGAUGCCCAGUUCAGCGACACACUGUGUGAUCCCUCUCACGUGGAAGCCACUUCAUGAGAUCGAACGCACAGGUGGACGGUCAGCUCUUCAGGGGGCUAGAGGAGUCCCGACCCCCGUGAGGACUUGGCAGCCCCCACUGCCGGGCUCGGGAAUGAGGUUGGUUUAGGGAAAGGCCGAGCUGAUGGUGCUGGGUGUGUGUGCUUAUGGGGUGGAGGUGAGCAGAACUCCUCUGUCCCCCAACGCGGCCUGUUACUUAAUGUUCCACCCACGGCCACAUUUUGAUACCACGAGCUCUGGUGGCUGGCUGUAACAGCGCCUGACUGGCGGAAAAUCGCAGUGGGAGCCGGGUUCUAGGACUCCAGUCCUUAAUUGAUCUAAGCUUCUGUCUCCAUGGCAAGAAGUAGGAAGAAGAAAUAUGUCUCCUAGACGAAGGGUCAGGGAAGGAGUAGUAAUGGUACUUCAGGUAUGCUGCUCGCCAUGGGGGGCUUCGGAGAAACACGCUUUUUUUCUUCUCCUUUUUCUUUUUUGGUCCAUAGAAAUGUAAGCAUUGCUGGAAUUUUUUCCCGGGGUGGUGGCCUUUGAAAAUCUUCCAGGAUGAAAUCACCUCUCGCCCUCCCUGUAGAAUAAAGCCGUGACUUGUUCAUGGCUAGGGUGGGCCCCGAACCGUUUCCUGAGAAAAGUUCCUGGCUUUGCCUGCCGGCCCUCUAGACCCCACAGCAGUCUAAAAUUUCUAGUCUACGGAUUGCCCCCUCGGUUAACAACAAACUACGGUCUCUCUCAGCGCCAAACGGAUGCCUUCCAACCCUGAGCCAGAGGCCGGGUGAGAAAGUCUCCCAUGAAGGGCAAUUUCAAAAUUAUUCCGGGCAUCACUCCUCUUGGUACUUUAGGUUCUUUCUUUCGGGUAUGGCCAGACAUGGGGAAAGUAAAUAGUCAGACAUUUAAUAUGUAGGUUCCAAAUUAAAUACAGAGUUGCGUUUCCAUUGUGGUAGGAAGCAGUUAAGCAUUUGGUUUGGAUCGGCUUGAGUUUGUGGAGCCGGGGCCCCGUCCCUCCGGGUUCCACUCUGAGAAACCUCAUAUCAGGAAACCGUGUGACUCCUAAGGACUGCAGAAAGCCCUCUGUCCACGAAGUUUGCUCUCAGAACUGACUUUAUCUCCCCCAACCCGAGUGUUUUGAGAUGAGAACCUGAAAUUCAAAUUUGCAACUCCAUGUAACAAGCCCAGGGCCCCCUUGUGGUGCACAACUUCUCAGGCUCCCCAUGCACACACCCCCUUAGUCUCCCUCAUCCUGUUAGCAUGUGCUUUGGUGGUGAGCUGUCUCAAAACUUUUCUGCAAUCAGGAAGUCGUAACAGGGGCACCUGGGUGGCUCAGCAGGUUAAAGCUUCUGCCUUUGGCUCAGGUCAUGAUCCCAGGGUCUUGGGAUCGAGCCCCACAUUGGGCUCUCUGCUUGGCAGGGAGCCUGCUUCUUCCUCUCUGUCUCUCUGCCCGCUUCUCUGCCUACUUGUGAUCUCUGUCUGUCACAUAAAUAAAUAAAAUCUUAAAAAAAAAAAAGUCAUAACAAGCAAACAAGUGUUAAAAAUCAUCUGUUUCAGAGGCUGCUUCUCCAAGUCUAUACAUCUCCAAGUCCAUACAU
Molecule: long non-coding RNA, 3450 nt
Organism: Mustela lutreola (European mink)
Lineage: Eukaryota; Metazoa; Chordata; Mammalia; Carnivora; Mustelidae
Exons: 3
Source: RefSeq, a predicted model, not a curated record